This is a non-coding RNA of Podarcis lilfordi (Lilford's wall lizard), 1019 nucleotides long. NCBI's taxonomy places the organism in Eukaryota, Metazoa, Chordata, Lepidosauria, Squamata, Lacertidae. The record is from the annotation of a GenBank genome assembly.
UCCUUGCAGGUUAUUAACAAGGUUUUAUUUGAAAUGCAUAUGCAGAACAAAGGUACAGAGCGAUAAGCUCGCAACCUGCACACCCCAGUAAGGGUGUGCCCACUUUUUAUACCCCUUAGAAUGCAUAGAGACGUGUUCACAUGUAAAACAUGUGAUUUCCACUAAUAGCAAUAAGAUGGGGCUUUGUUUCUUGUCUUACCCUCCUCCGUUUCAGCCUCCCCCUGCCUGGGGUUGCAAUCACACCCAUUCAGCCUUGCUCUUAUCUCUGCCCGCCUCAGCCAGACAUUCCAGAGAGAGAGAGAGAGGCCCAUUUUCACUGUAACAUCUUAGAGAGGAGGAAAAGCCUGGCUCUUCCGGCUGGUUGUAAAAGCCUCCAGGCUUGAAAGGAAGGGGUUUUGGGGAUAACAUAUGAGAGAGGAGAAAAUGUCUAAAAGAGUUUUUGGGAUCAUAGAGAGACCAAUAUUGUAAGGGCCCUUCACUAUGAUUCUGAGUUCCGGUGUGGAAGCUUUUCCCUCCUGGACAGCCCGCCUCGGUUGAGGGUUCGAAACCCCGCUCCGCCCCGCAACUCAGUGGCUGACCAGUCGCCAUCUCUGGGCCUCACCUGCCUCCCAGGUGUUGCGAGGAUGAAACGGGGAGGAGGAGAAGCAGGCGGAGCACCGGGAGCUCCCUGGCAGAUCAAGGGCGUCUGAAAGUGAAAUCAACCAGGGGAUCCCCCCCCUUGACGGCACCCCCCCCCCGCCCUGGGCAGGGCAGCGGCCCCUCCUCGCGCAAGCUGUGGGUCACCAGCAUCUUUCAAGGGGAGGGGGCGCCGGCGCGCAGCGGGAUCCUGAGGGUGGGCGCCGGAGAGCGAAAGGGCGAGUCCAGAUCUGGCUGGCCGGGGGGGCUCUUGCUGGCCCCGGGUCCGCCCCGCAGCGGCCUCCUCCUCCGGCGGGCAAGGGGGCGGGCAGGUGCCGCGGAGGCUUGUGGGCGUCGUAGUCCGGGGCUGCCCGCGGCGCGCAGCUGGGCCGGAGAAGCUCCCC